CUCUUUCAGUUCUCCUGAUCUGCCCCCUGUCUUUCUUAAGAACACCUAGAGGAGGCAGACUCUCCUUAUCUGUGUAUCUCCUUAUCUCCAUAUCUGUGGCUCCCAAGGAUUCUAAGCUGUCACACUAGCCCAUACAUGGUCUUUAAGUAUUUGUUAAAAUUUAGGGGAUUUUCCUCUCACUUUUUGGCUGCUACUCUUCCUCCUGUACUCUGCCCAAAGCAAAAAAGGUCUGUAGGAGCUGUGCUUCUUGGCUUUCUAUAUCCUAAGUGGAACUGGAACUCAUUGAUUGCAUUUUUGUUGUCAACUCUUUUUUUUUUGAGGAAGAUUAGCCCUGAAUUAACUACUGUCAAUCCUCCUCUUUUUGCUGAGGAAGACUGGUCCUGAGCUAACAUCUGUACCCAUCUUCCUCUACUUUAUACAUGGGACACCUACCACAGCAUGGCUUUUGCCAAGCAGUGCCAUGUCCGCACCCAGGGUCUGAACUGGCAAACCCCAGGCUGCCGAGAAGUGGAACAUGUGAACUUAAUCACUGUGCCACUGUGCCGGCCCUGUUGUCAACUCUUGUUACUUGACAGCAAAUUGCUCUGCAAUUUGUUCAGUAGGUUCAAAGAGAUAAAACACAAGAUUGAUAAUUAUGGAAACCUUAAAAAGGAACCGAAUCCCAAACCAAAAACAUAUAGUAGUGGAAAUUAACUCAGUGGAAGUGUUUUAUAGCAAAUAAGACAUCAACGAAGAGAUAUUUAAGAUUAUAAAGAAGAAUAUCUCUAGAAGGAAACAUGGAGAGAAACGAGUUUGGAAAUACAGGUGAGGGAUAAGAGAUACAGGAUGCAGUAAGAAGAUUUGAUAUAAAUGUAUUUAGAGUCCCUGAAGCAAGGGAGAGAGAAAAUGGGACAGAAGCAAUUUUUGAGAAGAUAACAGCUGAGAAUUUUCCACAACUGGUGAAAAACAUUGUCGCGGAUUAAGAAUUUAAAACAAGUCAGAAAAUCUAGGCACGUUCAUAAUAAAUGAAAACCAAAGAGAAAAUCCUUCAAAAUAGCUAGAGAAAAAAGACAUUACCUUGGAAAGAGCAAUAAUUAAACUUAUUGCUGGUUUCUCAAGAGAAAUAAUGAAAGCCAGAAGACAAAUGGAAUAUUUUCAAAGUGCUGAAAGAAAGUAACUGACAAGCUAGAGUUUUAUGCCCAGCAAAAAAUGUUCCUCAAAAUUAAAAGAGAAUUAAAGGCAUUUCUGGACAUAAAGACUGAGAGAUUUAUCAUGAGCAGGCCUGCAUUAAAGGAAAUACUUAAGAUAGUUCUUCAGGCAGAAGUAAAAAGAACCUAGAUGGAAACUCAGAGAUAUAAGAAGAAAAGGUUGAUGAAGAAGGUAAAAAUAUGUGGAUAGAUCUAAAUAAAUAUUGACCAUAUACAAUAAUGUCUGUGGGUUUUUAAAAUAUGUAUAUGUAUAUAUAGAUUGAAAACACAACAAUGGCAUAAAAGUCAAGAGGGGAUUCUUGGAGUUAAAAUGUUUUAAGAUCAUUGCAUUAUCUUGAAAGAAGGUUAUUUCUUUAGGCUGCUCCUGAAAAUAGAAUUGACUGUCAAGUGGGUGUGCACUGGUAAAGGAUUUUGUUUUGUUUUUUGUUUUUUUUUUUGCUUUUUGUCCCCAAAUCCUCCCAGUACACAGUUGUAUAUUUUAGUUGUGGGUCUUUCUAGUUGUGGCAUGUGGGACGCCACCUCAGCAUGGCCUGACGAGCAGUGCCAUGUCCACGUCAAGGAUCCGAAUCGUUGAAACCCUGGGCCGCUGAAGCCGAGCAUGCAAACUUAACCACUCGGCCACAGGGCCGGCCCCGAUUUUGUUAAGUUGGAUUGAAGAUGGUUUCACUGAGGAUUAGCACUCCCCAGCCGAUUCCCCUGAUGGAACAUUUGAAGCAGCAAAUUUCUAUACCUGGGCCACCGCCAGGCAGCAAUAACAACCUUCAGAAGCAAACCUGUUGGUCUCGUCAGCACUCAGAUUGCACUGCUUUUUGUGAAGCCCCCGUGUGCUCUAAUGGUGAUGGAGAUCUCGCCUGCCAUGCAGACCACGGAAGGAAAAUUGGAGGGAGCUUGGGUGUGCGUCUGGAGAAUAGCACUGUGAUGCCUCAGCUGAAGUUUUUGAAGCACUGCACCGGGGUCUGCUCUGUUUACAAGGAGAAGCUCAUUUUCAAACAGUAAACUCAUUUCCUUGGGAAAUUCUUCCUUUUGUACUGAGGAGAAAGGGAAAAAAGAAAAAAUUGGAGUCUUCUGGGAGGCUCUUUGAGGCUGACGAGCGACGCCUCUCAGUGGAGAGAUGGAAGGACUUCUUAGGCCACCUUUACCUGGGACGUGUAGGAGACCAGGCAUCCACGCCUUCUGAGUGUCCGUGAACCCCCUAAAGUUGUACACAAAAUUUGGGGUGCAAAUGUGAUUUUUUUCUGAAAAAAUGGUCCAGAGCUUUCAUCAGGUUCUCAGAGGAUUCUUUGCUCAUAAAAGGUUAAGGUCCACUGGGUUGGGCCUGUGUUUUCUCAAAGUGUUUGAAGUCAGAAGAUGACCUGCAACAGGACCACUGGGGGAGCUGGUUAAAAAUUCAUAUUCUGGGGCCCCACCCCCAGUCUUCUGAAUUAGAAUCUCUAGGGGGAUGGCCUGGGACUCUGAAUCUUUAACUACUUCUCUGAUUUGGUUAUUUGGUGAAAUUUCUGAAUUAGCUAGGUUUCAAAUGUUUAACAUCACCUGUUAGAAUAAGAUCAACAAUCACAGUGUAGGGAAGUACUUACAUUUACCCAAAUAGGCCAGCUCAACUACUUACUAGCUGUGUAACCUUGGCAAACUGUGAAUCUCUCUGAGCCUUAGUUCCCUCAUCUGCAAAUAAGGGGCCACGUAAUUUGUCUGUUUUGAGAUGAUAUUGCCUAAUACAUUGUAGGAGUCCAAGAAAUAUUAUUUACUAUUCAUAGCUUCUCUUAAACACCAAGUAUUCUCCAAACUCUCCAGGUCUAAUGUUUCUUUUUUUGAGUGCUUUAUGAGGCUUUUUUUCAUAAAGGGAUUGUCAAAAAAUGAAACAAAACAGAUUAAUCAUUUUCUACAAUGAUCCACUAGCCAUGUGUAAAGGGGUUUUGUUAUGCCGUCAAAUAUGCCUGAACUGUAAACUAUAAACUGAAAUUUUGUCUCAACCUAACAGAAAAAUUAGCAACAUUUCUAUUCUGCAGGUUCUACCAUAGUGAUUUUAGCAAAUGGAAAGCAUAAAUACCAGAACUGACCAAUAAGGACAAAGUCUUCCGUGCUUAAUAAUCACAGUAUUGACAGUGUUUGAUUUAAUUGAAAAUCUACUCACUAGUACAUCUUCAGGAGCAAACAGCAAAAAGGAGAAAAAAAGAAAUGCCUAUUUUUGUAAAACCAGUUGUAAAAUCCUGCUUGGUAUGAACAUGCUCCCUGACCCCACCCCCAUGCACACACACUGGCUUGUUUUGAGCAAAUUCCUCCCUUCUGGUGAUUUUGCAACUCUAUUCUACCACAGCUGUAUGUUUUCUACGAUUGGAAAGGCAUUUGCACAAAUGUUCAUUCUUACAUACCAAGGAAUAUUUACCCUGGUUCGUGAUGUAAGCAGAAAAUCUGAAGGAAAUACGAUGCCUAAAUAAAAACAGC
This 3626-nucleotide long non-coding RNA is filed under the name Equus asinus (donkey). Its description in RNAcentral is "lncRNA (ENSEASG00005026868.1)". The record is from RNAcentral. Lineage: Eukaryota; Metazoa; Chordata; Mammalia; Perissodactyla; Equidae.